UACGUAGGUGGCAAGCGUUGUCCGGAUUUAUUGGGUUUAAAGGGUGCGUAGGCGGCUUUGUAAGUCAGUGGUGAAAUACUCCAGCUUAACUGGAGGGGUGCCAUUGAUACUGCGGAGCUUGAGUACAGAUGGAGGUAGGCGGAAUUGACGGAUGUAGCGGUGAAAUGCAUAGAUAUCGUCAAGGAACACCGAGUAGCGAAAGGCAGCUUACUGGGCUGUAAACUGACGGCUGAUGACACGGAAA
Molecule: ribosomal RNA, 244 nt
Filed under: uncultured bacterium
Lineage: Bacteria
Description: partial 16S ribosomal RNA
Rfam family: Bacterial small subunit ribosomal RNA
Source: RNAcentral